UCUCAGCUCAGAUGAAGAAGAAGAGAUCUACACCAUGCCACUCCUUCACUCAUCAGCCUAACAGCAUGUCUAACCCCUUCACCAUCUCCAAGCAGAGUACGCUUCAAAUCGUUAUCAACGCCUCCACUACCAGGACCACAGUCAUUAAAUUAUGAAAUUAAUCAGUUUUAUUUGUCAUUAGAGGAAAUUAAGGAUUUUGAAUUCAUCAAAUUUACAUCGACUAUGAUUAAAAACUAAUAAAUGUAAUUUAAUUUAAUUUAGUUACAGAAGAGUCUGCAACGCAAAUGAGUUGACGAACUGAUAUAUUUGAAGUAAUUGUUUGAAUUGCAAACUACACGUGAUCUACUGUCAAUUUGUAAUUGAAUAAAUAAAAUUUUAUGUUGUCUAUCUUUUCAAAUUUUAUGAGUAAUUCUUUACCGUUAGUUGAGUCAAUACGACAGCAUAAAAAUCUGUUUCCUGACAAAACCGUGGCAACUCUUUCCCACGAAAAACAUAUUGUCUUUAAUAUUCUCCAAAAUUUUUGAGAGCCAUAAAAUUUCGACGGAUGUCCUCUUCCCAAGAAUGCAUGUAGACCCUUUUUUUUUCUAUGUCGCGUCACAGCGAUGGGCCCAACUUAGCCAUGUGCAACGCGGCAAAUUCCGAAAUAAUUUACACCCCGCAAUAGUUUUUUUUCCAACCAGAAAAUUUUCUUUUCCCCCUCUUCCUACAAGGGAACAAUGGCACCCACUCUUCAGUUUUGUACUGGAAGAUUUUCAGUAAUUUAGUACACCAAAAGAUUUCAACGAGACAACGAGAUACAACCCUCUGUUGUAACUAUCCCAAAAUCCAAUACAACAUCUACCGUGCAAGAGUAUUGACAAUAAAUUUUUAAUUUGUGUGUUGUGUGUGAAGCAAUUUAUUAAAUUUGUGAUUAACAGUUCUUGUAAAUUUAAAAGAAAAGAUUUAUUAAAAUAUAUCGUGUGUUUUUUUGUGAAUUGUGCACAAUACACGGAUAGAAUAUUUCUAAGGAGUAACAAUGACGCAAAAGAAGGGAUUUCAAGGAAAGGAUUACGAGUAUUAUUUAGUCCAUUUUUAUGAAGAUGGAAUCGAGGGAAUUUUUGACGUAGCUCUUCAGAAAUGGAUCACCUGGAAUGAUGAAGAGAACCUAUUCUACUGCAAAUUUCACGCAGGGGAUAGUGAGAAAGAAAAAGAACUGACCACAUCCUUAUUGAAGAACGCUCAAUUACCUCCCAAACAUUGGAAAAAAUAUCCAAUAAAAAUCAGAGGAGGAGCAAACACAUAUGAAGCAGCACUGGAACGAUUGAUUCGUUUGAAGGACGAUCCUUACGGUUUCAGUACCUCAAACGAAUCAUAUGGAAAAACGCAGAUCGAUGAUCUGCGAAAAAAACUCCAGAGAAGAAGAGUAAUUCCCAAACCAGGACGAAAUUGAAGACCUUUUUUCUGGCGUUAUAGACGCUGACGAAUCUUGUACCGGCUUAUCGUCAGAGGUGGAUUCUGAUAGUUAUGGUGAGAAUAAUAAUUAUUUCAUGUAUGGAAAAA
This is a long non-coding RNA of Diachasmimorpha longicaudata, 1539 nucleotides long. RefSeq lists it as uncharacterized. Lineage: Eukaryota; Metazoa; Arthropoda; Insecta; Hymenoptera; Braconidae. The transcript has 3 exons. The record is from RefSeq and is a predicted model, not a curated record.